RNAcentral lists this transfer RNA (65 nucleotides) under Staphylinidae sp. BMNH 1274665. RNAcentral's name for it is "tRNA-Ser". Lineage: Eukaryota; Metazoa; Arthropoda; Insecta; Coleoptera; Staphylinidae. The record is from RNAcentral.
AAGGAUUAUAAAUCAAAAUAAGCUUCUAACUUAAUUUUUAGCGAAAUAUAUCGUUAAUAAUCCAA